This 956-nucleotide long non-coding RNA is filed under the name Salmo salar (Atlantic salmon). Its description in RNAcentral is "lncRNA (ENSSSAG00000086656.1, ENSSSAG00000115699.1)". The record is from RNAcentral. Lineage: Eukaryota; Metazoa; Chordata; Actinopteri; Salmoniformes; Salmonidae.
UUAUGACAACUUCCGGAGGACGUCCUCCAGCCUAUCGUACUGAAAGCAUAAGCUACAGCUAGCUAGCACUGCAUUGUAUAAAAUGUGGUGAGUAGUUGACUCAAAGAGAGAGAAAGGCAAUAGUUGAACAGUUUUUAACAAAUUAAUUUAUACCAAAAUGAAGGAGAAGCAGAGAUCUCUUUUUUUCACUUACUUAGCUAGAAAAUGCAGCUAGCCAGUUUAGUCUACUGAAACACCCUGCUCAAACAGAGGGAUGCUUUGUUAGGUAGCUGGCUGCGACUUUCCAACACAACACUGGAACUCUUCCAAGUCAAGGUAGAUGCAGGCAAGAGUGUGCAAGGCGGUAUUGUCUGUUGUAGCAACCUCAUGAUGGGUACAGGGAAAAUUCUGGAGCACAGAGGCCGCUUGAGGAGCACAGAGGCCGCUUGAGGAGCACAGAGGCCGCUUGAGGGAGGAUGCUAGAAUGAUGGCGGCUAAAGCAGGCAUGAGUGCUUCGUCGACUGUGCUUCGUGCGGAUUCUGGUGGGCGGGACGAGGAAUCUGGGGCUCAGGAUGUAAACAAACAAGACCCCGAAGUAUUCCGGCGGCAUGAAACACACGCCAUGGUCCCAGGGUCUGCUGGGGGUGUGGCCAGCCAGGCCAUCUGCGCCAGGAUUGGACCCCUGGCUUUCUUUCCCAACCACCAUCCUCUUCAGGAGGAGCCCACCGGCACAGACUGGGAAGCAAGGCUCCACUUCCUCCAGAAGCAGACGAGGGCAAGCUGAUGGAGCCUGUUGUUAUGGUGGGUCGGACCUGUGUUGGGGACUUUUGUCAUGUCCCUGUCACUGUGGAGGGGGUGCCCUGCUCUGCCCUGGUGGACACUGGGUCCACAGUAACCCUGGUAAGGCCGGAUAUUGUGCCAGGUUGGACUCCACAACUGUGCAGCUCCGCACAGUCACAGGUGAGCUGGCACCCAUG